AGCGAACGCUGGCGGCAGGCCUAACACAUGCAAGUCGAACGGACCCUUCGGGGUUAGUGGCGGACGGGUGAGUAACACGUGGGAACGUGCCCUUUGGUUCGGAAUAGCUCCUGGAAACGGGUGGUAAUGCCGAAUGUGCCCUUCGGGGGAAAGAUUUAUCGCCAUUGGAGCGGCACGCGUCUGAUUAGCUAGUUGGUAGUGUUACGGACUACCAAGGCGACGAUCAGUAGCUGGUCUGAGAGGAUGAUCAGCCACAUUGGGACGGAGACACGGCCCAAACUCCUACGGGAGUGAGCUGUGGGGAAUCUUGAGCAAUGGGCGAAAGCCUGACGCAGCCAUGACGCGUGAACGACGAAGGCCCUCGGGUUGUAAAGUCCAAAGGGGGGGAGCAAGCGCAAGCCGAGCGACCCCCAGUAAGCACGGGCUAAGUUCGUGCCAGCCGCCGCCGUAA
Molecule: ribosomal RNA, 451 nt
Filed under: uncultured bacterium
Lineage: Bacteria
Description: partial 16S ribosomal RNA
Rfam family: Bacterial small subunit ribosomal RNA
Source: RNAcentral